GGAUCGAUGAUGACUUCCACAUACAUUCCUUGGAAAGCUGAACAAAAUGAGUGAAAACUUUAUGCCGUCAUCCUCGUCAAACUGAGGUCC
This is a small nucleolar RNA of Cercocebus atys (sooty mangabey), 90 nucleotides long. Its record names the gene SNORD116. It matches the Rfam family "Small nucleolar RNA SNORD116". From Rfam's summary of the family: HBII-85 is a member of the C/D class of snoRNAs, which contain the C (UGAUGA) and D (CUGA) box motifs. HBII-85 is encoded in a tandemly repeated array with another C/D snoRNA, HBII-52, in the Prader-Willi syndrome (PWS) region of chromosome 15. Lineage: Eukaryota; Metazoa; Chordata; Mammalia; Primates; Cercopithecidae. The record is from Ensembl.